Molecule: long non-coding RNA, 658 nt
Filed under: Gossypium raimondii (Peruvian cotton)
Lineage: Eukaryota; Viridiplantae; Streptophyta; Magnoliopsida; Malvales; Malvaceae
Description: long non-coding RNA (GRAI_LNC009155)
Source: RNAcentral
ACUACGCAAUUAUAAAUAACCUUUAAUCUCCUUCAAAAGCAAUCACUAAGUAGCCCAAUCAGAUCAAAGCUGCCAAACAUUGGCUUCAACCAAACAUGGGUUGUAAGAUGAUCUCUAUGCUUUCGAUACUUGUUCUACUUCUGUCACUUUCACUACUCUUGCUUGCAUCUUCAACCACCAGCACUCGCGUUGGUAAGUCCAGCUAAAACCUUGUUAAUUUCUUGUAUAUACAUAUCUCUUUGGUUUGAUUUUCUGUGUUUUGUUUUGUUUUUUAUUGUUGGGGUUACUAUAGGAAAGAUGGGGAACCGAGAGAUCCGGAGAAAUUUGAUAUAUGGAGGACCAAAAGGAGGACAUGAUCAUCCAAGCAGUGGUAAUGUAUGCCGAGGUCCUCGUGGUGGCUGCGGCUGAUAGUAUAGAGAAGAAAACUUAUACUUCACAAUAUAAUACUUUUAUCAUUAAGUUAAAAAGACGUUGGUAGCAAAAAAGAAAACUUUACUAGAACAAGCCAAACCUAGGGUUAUAGUUAACGUUUUGUAGGUCGUAUUUGUACCGUAUUUCUACUUUAGUAUUUCAUAUCAAUACCAUCUUAUAUUUCUUUUCUUUUUGUGCCACAUAUUUAACAUUUACAGUUAAUAAUUAUAUUAUACCAAAUAAUAAG